This 468-nucleotide ribosomal RNA is filed under the name uncultured bacterium. RNAcentral describes it as "partial 16S ribosomal RNA". It matches the Rfam family "Bacterial small subunit ribosomal RNA", at positions 28 to 507 of the family's 1533-position model. The record is from RNAcentral.
GACGAACGCUGGCGGCGUGCUUAACACAUGCAAGUCGAACGGAAAGGCCCUGCUUUUGUGGGGUGCUCGAGUGGCGAACGGGUGAGUAACACGUGAGUAACCUGCCCUUGACUUUGGGAUAACUUCAGGAAACUGGGGCUAAUACCGGAUAGGAGCUCCUGCUGCAUGGUGGGGGCUGGAAAGUUUCGGCGGUGUGGGAUGGACUCGCGGCUUAUCAGCCUGUUGGUGGGGUAGUGUCUUACCAAGGCUUUGACGGGUAGCCGGCCUGAGAGGGUGACCGGCCACAUUGGGACUGAGAUGCGGCCCAGACUCCUACGGGAGGCAGCAGUGGGGAAUAUUGCACAAUGGGCGGAGGCCUGAUGCAGCAACGCCGCGUGCGGGAUGACGGCCUUCGGGUUGUAAACCGCUUUCGCCUGUGACGAAGCGUGAGUGACGGUAAUGGGUAAAGAAGCACCGGCUAACUACGUG